RNAcentral lists this ribosomal RNA (698 nucleotides) under Escherichia coli. Its description in RNAcentral is "partial 23S ribosomal RNA". It matches the Rfam family "Bacterial large subunit ribosomal RNA", at positions 2250 to 2925 of the family's 2925-position model. The record is from RNAcentral. Lineage: Bacteria; Pseudomonadati; Pseudomonadota; Gammaproteobacteria; Enterobacterales; Enterobacteriaceae.
GACAGUGUCUGGUGGGUAGUUUGACUGGGGCGGUCUCCUCCUAAAGAGUAACGGAGGAGCACGAAGGUUGGCUAAUCCUGGUCGGACAUCAGGAGGUUAGUGCAAUGGCAUAAGCCAGCUUGACUGCGAGCGUGACGGCGCGAGCAGGUGCGAAAGCAGGUCAUAGUGAUCCGGUGGUUCUGAAUGGAAGGGCCAUCGCUCAACGGAUAAAAGGUACUCCGGGGAUAACAGGCUGAUACCGCCCAAGAGUUCAUAUCGACGGCGGUGUUUGGCACCUCGAUGUCGGCUCAUCACAUCCUGGGGCUGAAGUAGGUCCCAAGGGUAUGGCUGUUCGCCAUUUAAAGUGGUACGCGAGCUGGGUUUAGAACGUCGUGAGACAGUUCGGUCCCUAUCUGCCGUGGGCGCUGGAGAACUGAGGGGGGCUGCUCCUAGUACGAGAGGACCGGAGUGGACGCAUCACUGGUGUUCGGGUUGUCAUGCCAAUGGCACUGCCCGGUAGCUAAAUGCGGAAGAGAUAAGUGCUGAAAGCAUCUAAGCACGAAACUUGCCCCGAGAUGAGUUCUCCCUGACUCCUUGAGAGUCCUGAAGGAACGUUGAAGACGACGACGUUGAUAGGCCGGGUGUGUAAGCGCAGCGAUGCGUUGAGCUAACCGGUACUAAUGAACCGUGAGGCUUAACCUUACAACGCCGAAGCUGUU